UGGGGAAUAUUGCACAAUGGGCGCAAGCCUGAUGCAGCCAUGCCGCGUGUGUGAAGAAGGCCUUCGGGUUGUAAAGCACUUUCAGCGGGGAGGAAGGCGUUAAGGUUAAUAACCUUGGCGAUUGACGUUACCCGCAGAAGAAGCACCGGCUAACUCCGUGCCAGCAGCCGCGGUAAUACGGAGGGUGCAAGCGUUAAUCGGAAUUACUGGGCGUAAAGCGCACGCAGGCGGUUUGUUAAGUCAGAUGUGAAAUCCCCGGGCUCAAUCUGGGAGCUGCAUCUGAUACUGGCAAGCGUGAGUCUCGUAGAGGGUGGUAGAAGUCCAGGUGUAGCGGUGAAAUGCGUAGAGGUCUGGAGGAAUACCGGUGGCGAAGGCGGCCCGCUGGACGAAGACUGACGCUCAGGUGCGAAAGCGUGGGGAGCAAACUGG
Molecule: ribosomal RNA, 429 nt
Filed under: Chloroflexota bacterium
Lineage: Bacteria; Bacillati; Chloroflexota
Description: Chloroflexi bacterium partial 16S ribosomal RNA
Rfam family: Bacterial small subunit ribosomal RNA
Source: RNAcentral